RNAcentral lists this long non-coding RNA (221 nucleotides) under Elaeis guineensis (African oil palm). Its description in RNAcentral is "long non-coding RNA (EGUI_LNC054566)". Lineage: Eukaryota; Viridiplantae; Streptophyta; Magnoliopsida; Arecales; Arecaceae. The record is from RNAcentral.
UCAUAACAAAAAAAUUCAGACCUUCAUGAAGAAGAAGAGAUCAAACUUCAAGAGAAAGCCAUUCUUUAAGGAUGAGCUAAGUAAAGAAAGAAAGAAAGACAAAGAUAAGAAGCCAUCCACCUAUUUUGAAUGCAAGAAACUGGGGUACUUCAAGAUACAUCUCUUAUUGAAGAAACCUCCAAGAAAAUGAAGAAAAAGGUGAUGAUGGCCAUUGAAGUGAU